Transfer RNA from Melampsora larici-populina 98AG31, 82 nucleotides. It matches the Rfam family "tRNA". Rfam says of the family: Transfer RNA (tRNA) molecules are approximately 80 nucleotides in length. Their secondary structure includes four short double-helical elements and three loops (D, anti-codon, and T loops). Further hydrogen bonds mediate the characteristic L-shaped molecular structure. tRNAs have two regions of fundamental functional importance: the anti-codon, which is responsible for specific mRNA codon recognition, and the 3' end, to which the tRNAs corresponding amino acid is attached (by aminoacyl-tRNA synthetases). tRNAs cope with the degeneracy of the genetic code in two manners: having more than one tRNA (with a specific anti-codon) for a particular amino acid; and 'wobble' base-pairing, i.e. permitting non-standard base-pairing at the 3rd anti-codon position. The record is from Rfam. Lineage: Eukaryota; Fungi; Basidiomycota; Pucciniomycetes; Pucciniales; Melampsoraceae.
GACUUGAUGGCGCAAUGGUAGCGCGUCCGACUCCAGAAAUGGCUCCAUCGGAAGGCUGCGUGUUCAAGUCACGUUCGGGUCA